Molecule: long non-coding RNA, 3632 nt
Filed under: Homo sapiens (human)
Lineage: Eukaryota; Metazoa; Chordata; Mammalia; Primates; Hominidae
Description: PREDICTED lncRNA (TCONS_00161115)
Source: RNAcentral
UGAAUGUCUCACGAAGGUUUAUUUGAAUAGAGUUACAUCUAGAGUUCUCAUUUCAGUGUACAAACAACUCAGUGCAGUGUUUCUAAUACAAGUCAUAUAAAACUGGAACACACUAAAUGAAUAGUGCACUUGAUAGAAAAAUAAAUUACACUUUAAAUGCUACUGCAAAGUUUUACACAUAUAAAAGGUAAACACAAAAUAGUUAGUGAGACCCUCAUAACCACUUAUCAUAUCCAGAUAAGGAGAUAAAAGGGGCAAAGGAAUCUGUGCUAUAAAAAAAAAUCUCUCUGAAGAGGAGAAAUCCUGACAAGUAACUGAAUGAUCAUCUCAAGCAAUGUGGUGACAUAGGGACUUACAGAUCGUAUCUCUUAGAACUGGGAAGGAAUCAUAGCUCUACCAAUGUGUUAACACAACCCAGUUCAGCUCAGGGCAAAUUUCUAUAAUUCAAACAAAUGUCCUCAUACUAACGCCUAAUAUGUAGGAAAAGUUUCCAACUUUCUUCUGACCACUGAAGAGGUACAGUGUUUAAAUUUUUGAGAGGAUAAAAAGGACAAAUAAUCUAGAAAUGUGUCUUCUUCAGUCUGCAGAAGACCCCAGGUCUCCAAGCAACCACAUGGUCAAGGGCAUGAAUAAUUAAAAGUUGGUGGGAACUCACAAAGACCCUCAGAGCUGAGACACCCACAACAGUGGGAGCUCACAAAGACCCUCAGAGCUGAGACACCCACAACAGUGGGAGCUCACAAAGACCCUCAGAGCUGAGACACCCACAACAGCACCUCGUUCAGCUGCCACAUGUGUGAAUAAGGAUGCAAUGUCCAGAAGUGUUGGCUGCCUCCAAGUGACAGGUAACACUGCAGAACCUAUCUGAGGACCUGCCAGCCUCCCGUUUCACGCAGCCACUCUGCUGCUCUACAAAGUUUCACAUCAGGGGUCAGCGGCUUUGUAAAGGGGACUCCGCAGGAACACAGCUGUGCUGGGGCUGCUGCUGCUGUACUGCGCCAGCAGAGCUGAGUGGGACAGUAUUUACCAUCUCUGGUCCUUUACAGAACAAGACUGCUGACUCCUCUCAAUGACAAGACAAAAACUCUGCUUCUCGAGACUCUUACUUAGAAAAAUAGCAGAUUUUUCUCUCUGUGACUGAUAAAUAAUUCUGCUAACAAGACUUCUGAAGGAAAUCUUCAUUUUGGGGCUUAGCUAAGAGAAGAAGAGGUGCAAGUUUUAGCCAGAAGUGAGAAGCAUAAGAUAACAAGUAGUCCAGAUCCAAGAACCCAAGAACAACUCAGGGCUUUCAUCCUUAAAUCUCCAUAGGAUAUCUGUGAUUGUACAAAGGCAAAGGCUAGAGACAAAUGUUAGGAGACUAUAAGAAAUAUUUUUAAAAGUUUUUUCUUAAAACAAUGUAUAAAUGUUAAGGAAGUAAGCACACAAGGAACAGAAUCAUUCCUCUGUUCAGCAGUGUCUCCUGAAGAGUAGGAAUGAAAUGACCAUGACCUCCUGUGUGUCAAAAGAUGAUGCUACUGACAUGUCACAAAUUAGGUCUCACUGAUUAAUUUACAAGUUCUCAGGCAAAGUCUAGAGCAGGUAACUGAAACCUUCACGUCUUAUUUUAAACCAUCCUGUCAACUCCCACUUCCCCUAUCAGGGCUAUGAAAUGGACUGAGUUGAGGUUCCUCUCCUGUCUGCCCGCAGGGAGGCAGCACUAUCUGCUCCCCGCCACCCCACCGUGCUCCGUCCGAGGCGUGCACGGCAAACCCUCAGCAGUGCCCCCGGCUGCCCCUUCUCCAACCUCAGCCCAGUCUCACCAGCCUGCUUCUCACCCACUAUCAUCUCCAACCUUUCUCUUUGAACCCAUCAAGGAUGCCGGCACACAUGCCUCUCUCUUCUCAAGAGACAGACAUCUCCCCUUCCCUACCUGCCACAUUCGUAGACCACCUCAGCCCUGCCUCUCCCCACCACACUGUUCUCAGGGGAGCAGAACAGGAAGAGCUGUUACAGCAGCUCUGCGCAUGGCAGCAGCAGCAGCUAUGACAGGAAACCAAUCCCCAACACGCAUUUAAUCUGUCGGGGCCAAUUCAGCAUUCAAGUAUGAACUUCCGUGUUUGCCACUUCAUGUCAGGGCAUGAGACAAAGUUUCCUCUGAGCUUGAAAUUCAAGUGAAUUUUAACAAAGUCCCUACCAAUAUUCUAACUGUCAAGAAUACAGGUAUCCAACGACAUAAAGGUCACAGACUAUGUCCAACUACCUAAUUCCUAAUUUUAGGAAGUUUAAAAUAAGGAUGUUGUCACCUCCUGAACUGGAUGGGAGAUUUAGGUCUUCCAAGGCAUAAUGCCUCAGCUGCUCUGUGGUGAGCAGCACAACGGUAACCCUGUAGGACAUCUACGGUUGCCAAGACACUGAAAAUUUGAUGCUCAUUCCAUCAUGUCCUGGGUCAAGCCCCUGGUUCUAGGUGUCACCUUCAGCUUUGAGAAAAUAUGUCCUAUAAUUAAGAACUGGCAAGAGCCCCACCAGUGAAACUCAGAAGCUGUUUUUAGCAUAAUGGCUAAGGGGAGGCAGCCAGCAAGAAGUGUUGACUUUCCUUCUGCAAAAAUGUUUUGUGCAAACGUGGGUUCCAAUCACUACAGCUCCCUGGGAAACAGUGCAAGAUUAAAAUUCCUGAGCUUUCCAGUCAGACACUAGUGUGCGUUUGCCUGGACACACGAUUAUGUUAUAAGGAGCCCAGGAAAGUCCAAUCCAUGAAGUUUUAAGGAUCUAAGACUGGAUGUUCUUUUAUGCUAAGCAGUACAAAUUAGUGCUUAAUUAUAUACAUAUUGCAGGACAGAAAACUAGAAAGCAAAUUCCAGGAGGUAUAGCUUAAGAUCAGUUCUCCAUAACGAGGGAUUAACAACUUUACCAAUAUGGUUUCCACAUCAUCCUUCUUCCCCAUGGCAACCGAGGUUUACCUUGUUCAUUCGAAAAUUAUAAAGCUAAAUAGCGUUAUUUCUGGGUAUUAGAAUUACAGAUGGACAUUGCUAUACUUUAUUUUUCUGUGAUGAGUAUAUAUUAUUUUAACAUCCAGAAUUUCUUUGUACAGGCCCAAAGGGAUGGGGAAGUUUUAGAGAUCUCUUUUAAACUAACACAGAAUUCCUAGUGCAAUGCAGGUUCUUUCGGUAUAUGCUGUGUAUAGCUUCAUACAUGGUAGGUAUUUAAGAAACAACAUCCCUUCACCCCUGUUCCUAUUGCCUAUUUUGGUCUUGGUGUAUUUGUUUUGUUUCAUUUUUUUUUCCAGUUUGAAAGCUCUAAAUUUAUUCAGCUUAUACUGAAAGGAAAUGAAGUCUAUGUCCAAAUAGGAAACAAUGUGGAGUACUGCUGUGCUGUGCCUUCAUUACCUGAGACUACAGCAGCCUGCAUUCUCCACCGGGCUCGGAGGAGUGCAGAUGCCUGAGCUAUGCAGUGUGAUUCAACAAUUCCAGUUGGACGGAAAAUACAGCUGUCUUUUUUACGGAGUUGAAGUCAAAUCUACGUGCAGCUUUUUUUACCUACAAAUAAUGGACAAGCUCCUGAAUCCAACAUAUUCUAGCUGAAACGGAUCCCAGGACGGAAUGCUGGAGAGAUGCGUAUUCCAGCUACAGGCCCUCAGAGCUCAGUGGUCAGUAAAC